This 484-nucleotide ribosomal RNA is filed under the name uncultured bacterium. Its description in RNAcentral is "partial 16S ribosomal RNA". It matches the Rfam family "Bacterial small subunit ribosomal RNA", at positions 28 to 507 of the family's 1533-position model. The record is from RNAcentral.
GAUUAACGCUAGCGGCAGGCAUAAUACAUGCAAGUUGAACGGCAGCACAGGUAGCACUCCUGGGUGGCGAGUGGCGCACGGGUGCGUAACACGUAUGCAACCUACCCUAUACAGGCGAAUAACCUUUAGAAAUGAGGACUAAUACGCCGUAGUAUUACAGAUGGGCAUCUAUUUGUAAUUAAAGAUUUAUCGGUAUAGGAUGGGCAUGCGUCCCAUUAGUUAGUUGGUAAGGUAACGGCUUACCAAGACGAUGAUGGGUAGGGGAUCUGAGAGGACUUACCCCCACACUGGUACUGAGACACGGACCAGACUCCUACGGGAGGCAGCAGUAAGGAAUAUUGGGCAAUGGCCGCGAGGCUGACCCAGCCAUGCCGCGUGCAGGAAGACGGCCUUAUGGGUUGUAAACUGCUUUUAUACGGGAAUAAUAGAGUGUACGCGUACAUUUAUGCAAGUAUCGUAUGAAUAAGCAUCGGCUAACUCCGUG